RNAcentral lists this long non-coding RNA (590 nucleotides) under Fragaria vesca (wild strawberry). RNAcentral describes it as "long non-coding RNA (FVES_LNC001193)". The record is from RNAcentral. Lineage: Eukaryota; Viridiplantae; Streptophyta; Magnoliopsida; Rosales; Rosaceae.
ACAUAUUCCAAUAUUAUUUUAGCGUAAGGAACUAGGGCUAUUGAGAGAGAGAGUUGAGAUCCAGAGAUUCCUCAAAAGAAGAUGGAAAAAGCGAGCGAGAGAGUCCCUCCUAACCCUAAGCCCCUGACAUGGCAUCAACUGCGGGACCUGGAAUACGCAGGGCGACGACCCGACCCGUUUAGGACGUCGGAGUCGUACGACGAACACGAGAAACUUUUGAAUCCCAUCGGCGGGGAGCCUGGUAUUUCUUCAAUUCUCCGUUUCCCUUUAUUUUUAGGGUUUCUCUGAAUUCAGAAUUUGAAUGUAAAUUGUGGAACUGCAAACAGAUACCCUACGGACUACAGAGAUUCCUCCUCAGAAGAAGGAAAUGGAAAAAGCGAGCGAGAGAGUCCCUUCUUUCCCUAAGCCUCCUAAGCCUCUGACUGGCUUCAAAUGCGGGACCUGGAAUACGCAGGGCGACGACCCGACCCGUUUAGGACGUCGGAGUCGUACGACGAACACGGAAGACUUUUGAAUCCGAUUGGCUGUUGGACUGGUAUUUCUUCAAUUCUCCCUUUCUUCAUUUUAGGGUUUUUCAGAAUUUGAGUCCU